Molecule: long non-coding RNA, 280 nt
Filed under: dengue virus type 1
Lineage: Riboviria; Orthornavirae; Kitrinoviricota; Flasuviricetes; Amarillovirales; Flaviviridae
Description: Dengue virus 1 partial sfRNA1
Rfam family: Flavivirus DB element (bases 149-220)
Source: RNAcentral
AAGAAGUCAGGCCGGUUUAAGCCAUAGUACGGUAAGAGCUAUGCUGCCUGUGAGCCCCGUCCAAGGACGUAAAAUGAAGUCAGGCCGAAAGCCACGGCUUGAGCAAACCGUGCUGCCUGUGGCUCCAUCGUGGGGAUGUAAAAACCCGGGAGGCUGCAACCCAUGGAAGCUGUACGCAUGGGGUAGCAGACUAGUGGUUAGAGGAGACCCCUCCCAAAAUACAACGCAGCAGCGGGGCCCAACACCAGGGGAAGCUGUACCCUGGUGGUAAGGACUAGAG